Molecule: unclassified non-coding RNA, 271 nt
Filed under: Peniophora albobadia
Lineage: Eukaryota; Fungi; Basidiomycota; Agaricomycetes; Russulales; Peniophoraceae
Description: partial internal transcribed spacer region
Rfam family: Eukaryotic small subunit ribosomal RNA (bases 1-46)
Source: RNAcentral
AAGUCGUAACAAGGUUUCCGUAGGUGAACCUGCGGAAGGAUCAUUAGCGAAGUUCGGAAUGCAUGUUCGGUGUUGAUGCUGCCCAGCAAUGGGAUGUGCUCACUCGGAUGUGUGUCCCUUCUCUAUCCACCCCACUGUGAACCAAGUGUGUGAGCCGAAGAGAAAUCGGAAGCUCGCAUGCAAACCUUUAACAUACCCCAAUUAAGUAUCAGAAUGUACCUUGCGUUAACUCGCACAAAUAUAACUUUCAACAACGGAUCUCUUGGCUCUC